Molecule: ribosomal RNA, 253 nt
Filed under: uncultured bacterium
Lineage: Bacteria
Description: partial 16S ribosomal RNA
Rfam family: Bacterial small subunit ribosomal RNA
Source: RNAcentral
UACGUAGGGUGCAAGCGUUAAUCGGAAUUACUGGGCGUAAAGCGUGCGCAGGCGGUUCUAUAAGACAGAUGUGAAAUCCCCGGGCUCAACCUGGGAACUGCAUUCGUGACUGGCAAGCUAGAGUAUGGCAGAGGGGGGUGGAAUUCCACGUGUAGCAGUGAAAUGCGUAGAUAUGUGGAGGAACACCGAUGGCGAAGGCAGCCCCCUGGGUCAAGACUGACGCUCAUGCACGAAAGCGUGGGGAGCAAACAGG